This is a non-coding RNA of Triticum urartu, 93 nucleotides long. The record is from Rfam. Lineage: Eukaryota; Viridiplantae; Streptophyta; Magnoliopsida; Poales; Poaceae.
GCUUCCCGAUGAUGAUCAAACUAUACUUUCGUUCUUCUGAUGUGCUAUCUUGGUGCUGUGCGGAAGCAAUUUGGAGACCUGAGCUGAGGAAAU